This 254-nucleotide ribosomal RNA is filed under the name uncultured bacterium. Its description in RNAcentral is "partial 16S ribosomal RNA". It matches the Rfam family "Bacterial small subunit ribosomal RNA", at positions 333 to 583 of the family's 1533-position model. The record is from RNAcentral.
GUAUCCCUACGGGGGGCAGCAGUGAGGAAUAUUGGUCAAUGGGCGAGAGCCUGAACCAGCCAAGUCGCGUGAAGGAUGACGGCCCUACGGGUUGUAAACUUCUUUUGUCAGGGAGCAAUUGGGUCCACGCGUGGGCUUAGCGAGAGUACCUGAAGAAAAAGCAUCGGCUAACUCCGUGCCAGCAGCCGCGGUAAUACGGAGGAUGCGAGCGUUAUCCGGAUUUAUUGGGCGUAAAGCGAGUGCUGGCGGUUCAA